GCGCCAUUGGUGUAGCGGUUAGCAUGUGGGUUUCCCAAACCUAUGAUCCGGAUUCGAUUCCCGGGUGGCGCA
Non-coding RNA from Trichomonas vaginalis G3, 72 nucleotides. Lineage: Eukaryota; Parabasalia; Trichomonadida; Trichomonadidae. The record is from Rfam.